This 1140-nucleotide long non-coding RNA is filed under the name Canis lupus familiaris (dog). RNAcentral describes it as "lncRNA (ENSCAFG00845020450.1)". The record is from RNAcentral. Lineage: Eukaryota; Metazoa; Chordata; Mammalia; Carnivora; Canidae.
CCCAGAACAGAGCCAAAUUGUUCAAGCUGCGUGAAGAAGAAAGAAAAAACGAGUUGGGGGGGGGGGGGUGGCGGUGGUGCUGGUUGAGGGAAGAAGAAAAGAUUUCCUUGUUGGUUCGAUUUCUCUGGAGAUAUUUGGAGGAUAACACAGCAAUUUUUUUUUUUUCUUUUAGGAGGGGCACCCGAGAGCAAAAAACGAGAGAGCCGAGUUUUAUCGGCCAGGCGGCCCGUGCUUAAAGGUGACAUUCGAGAGAACAAUCGCUAGGUUGUUUGGUCACCUUUGCUGGUAUGAAUGAAGCUUAAGAAAAGCUGUCUUUGGAUUGCUACUAAUAGUCAUCUUCAUCAUGCCUGCUCUCCCUCUCUCUCUCCCUCUCCCUCGCCCUCUCUCUCUCUCUCUCUCUCUCUCUUUCUCGGUUCCCUUAUGAAAUAAAGGCACACAGGUAAUAAACAAAGCACUAUAAAAGAUCAGAUUGACGUGUUCUGUGGCUCAUUCAAUGUCAGGAGCAAGCCUCCUGCGCUCCGCUGCUAGUGCUUGCGGCACCAAAAGCUGGGCCAGGACCGAGGGAUGGUGGUGGGAUGAGGCUAGACCCCCUUCACCCAUCCUGGAACCUUGCUGAAUUCAUCAGGGCCACGGCCUGGGUCCGCUAACCCACACCUGACGCCCGAGGGACAAAGGACAAGAUGGCAGGGUAGAGACCCUUGGAUUUGCUCCUUUUGGAUUUUUGGAUUCGGACCUGACUUUCUUUGUCAAUCCUCAUGCCCGAUCCAGUGGUCAAAGAAGGAGGAGACUCAACAGCUGUUUCUUUCUCCCUUCAUUUUUCCAACAAAGAAGCUUCAUGAGAACAUUAACACCGAAAGAAAAUUGUGUUCACUGCAGGACUUUUCAAGGAUCGGUGGAAAGAUUUAUAAGCUGCAGACUGCGCUCAGCAAGACCUCACCAAAUGGAGGAAAAUUAAAGAGAGAAAUGGUCCAUGGUGUAUUCUUAACCGCCAUAAAUUGGCGUCAUUUUGGCCACCAUCCAGGAGAGAGACACCAGCCUACAGAAACAGAGAAAGAAGAUCAGAAGCCGAUGGAAGGAAGGGAGAUGCGACUUCGCUGGGGAAGAGAGGACUAUCCUCUGCUCCCAUCGCUCACUCACUGA